AACGAACGCUGGCGGCAGGCCUAACACAUGCAAGUCGAACGCUGUAGCAAUACAGAGUGGCAGACGGGUGAGUAACGCGUGGGAACAUUCCUAGUGGUACGGAAUAGCUCAGGGAAACUUGGGGUAAUACCGUAUAAGCCCUUACGGGGAAAGAUUUAUCGCCAUUAGAUUGGCCCGCGUUGGAUUAGCUAGUUGGUGAGGUAACGGCUCACCAAGGCGACGAUCCAUAGCUGGUUUGAGAGAAUGACCAGCCACACUGGGACUGAGACACGGCCCAGACUCCUACGGGAGGCAGCAGUGGGGAAUCUUGGACAAUGGGCGCAAGCCUGAUCCAGCCAUGCCGCGUGAGUGACGAAGGCCUUCGGGUUGCAAAGCUCUUUUGACGGGGACGAUAAUGACGGUACCCGUAGAAUAAGUCCCGGCUAACUUCGUGCCAGCCGCCGCCGUAA
This 449-nucleotide ribosomal RNA is filed under the name uncultured bacterium. RNAcentral's name for it is "partial 16S ribosomal RNA". It matches the Rfam family "Bacterial small subunit ribosomal RNA", at positions 29 to 523 of the family's 1533-position model. The record is from RNAcentral.